UGGAUAGCUCAGUUGGUAAAGCAUGAGAGUCUUAAUCUCAGGGUUCAUGAGUUCAAGUUCCACGGGCAAAA
Non-coding RNA from Podarcis lilfordi (Lilford's wall lizard), 71 nucleotides. NCBI's taxonomy places the organism in Eukaryota, Metazoa, Chordata, Lepidosauria, Squamata, Lacertidae. The record is from the annotation of a GenBank genome assembly.